RNAcentral lists this transfer RNA (73 nucleotides) under Flavobacterium sp. MFBS3-15. RNAcentral describes it as "tRNA-Leu". It matches the Rfam family "tRNA". From Rfam's summary of the family: Transfer RNA (tRNA) molecules are approximately 80 nucleotides in length. Their secondary structure includes four short double-helical elements and three loops (D, anti-codon, and T loops). The record is from RNAcentral. Lineage: Bacteria; Pseudomonadati; Bacteroidota; Flavobacteriia; Flavobacteriales; Flavobacteriaceae.
GCAGGAGUGGCGGAAUGGAAGACGCGGCUGAUUCAGGGUCAGUAUUUUGGGAGUUCGACUCUCCCUUCCUGUA